CCUACGGGAGGCAGCAGUGGGGAAUAUUGCGCAAUGGGCGAAAGCCUGACGCAGCGACGCCGCGUGAGGGAUGAAGGUCUUCGGAUCGGAACCCUCUGUCAGCAGGGAAGAACGGUCACUGUGCUAAUCAGCAGUGAAUUGACGGUACCUGCAAAGGAAGCACCGGCUAACUCCGUGCCAGCAGCCGCGGGAAUACGGAGGGUGCGAGCGUUAAUCGGAAUUACUGGGCGUAAAGCGCUCGUCGGCGGUAUGUCAAGUCAAGGGUGAAAUCCCCGCGCGCAACGUGGGAACUGCCUUUGAAACUGGCAAACUGGAGUGUGUGAGAGGAUAGUGGAAUUCCAGGUGUAGGAGGGAAAUACGUAGAUAUCUGGAGGAACAGCAGUGGCGAAGGCGACUAUCUGGCACAUAACUGACGCUGAGGAGCGAAAGCGUGGGUAGCAAACAGGAUUAGAUACCCGGGUAGUC
Molecule: ribosomal RNA, 465 nt
Filed under: uncultured bacterium
Lineage: Bacteria
Description: partial 16S ribosomal RNA
Rfam family: Bacterial small subunit ribosomal RNA
Source: RNAcentral